AAUUCUCAACCUCUCUAGCUUUGCUAGUAAGAUGGCUUGGAUGUGGGGGUUAUUUUUGCAGGCUUUCACAAGUCAGCUCCCCUGAAAUGCAUUAGCCGGUACUCUCUGACCGUCUAUUGGUGUGAUAAUUAUCUACGCCGUGGACUGAAGAAAUUGUACUGCUUAUAAUCGUUCUGUAUAGAACAAUUCAUGACA
This 195-nucleotide unclassified non-coding RNA is filed under the name Deconica phillipsii. Its description in RNAcentral is "partial internal transcribed spacer 2". Lineage: Eukaryota; Fungi; Basidiomycota; Agaricomycetes; Agaricales; Kuehneromycetaceae. The record is from RNAcentral.